This 648-nucleotide ribosomal RNA is filed under the name uncultured Bacteroides sp. RNAcentral describes it as "bacterial SSU rRNA". It matches the Rfam family "Bacterial small subunit ribosomal RNA", at positions 73 to 715 of the family's 1533-position model. Lineage: Bacteria; Pseudomonadati; Bacteroidota; Bacteroidia; Bacteroidales; Bacteroidaceae. The record is from RNAcentral.
UCUUAGCUUGCUAAGGCCGAUGGCGACCGGCGCACGGGUGAGUAACACGUAUCCCACCUGCCGUCUACUCUUGGACAGCCUUCUGAAAGGAAGAUUAAUACAAGAUGGCAUCAUGAGUUCACAUGUUCACAUGAUUAAAGGUAUUCCGGUAGACGAUGGGGAUGCGUUCCAUUAGAUAGUAGGCGGGGUAACGGCCCACCUAGUCUUCGAUGGAUAGGGGUUCUGAGAGGAAGGUCCCCCACAUUGGAACUGAGACACGGUCCAAACUCCUACGGGAGGCAGCAGUGAGGAAUAUUGGUCAAUGGGCGCAGGCCUGAACCAGCCAAGUAGCGUGAAGGAUGACUGCCCUAUGGGUUGUAAACUUCUUUUAUAAAGGAAUAAAGUCGGGUAUGUAUACCCGUUUGCAUGUACUUUAUGAAUAAGGAUCGGCUAACUCCGUGCCAGCAGCCGCGGUAAUACGGAGGAUUCGAGCGUUAUCCGGAUUUAUUGGGUUUAAAGGGAGCGUAGAUGGAUGUUUAAGUCAGUUGUGAAAGUUUGCGGCUCAACCGUAAAAUUGCAGUUGAUACUGGAUAUCUUGAGUGCAGUUGAGGCAGGCGGAAUUCGUGGUGUAGCGGUGAAAUGCUUAGAUAUCACGAAGAACUCCGAUUG